RNAcentral lists this ribosomal RNA (329 nucleotides) under uncultured bacterium. Its description in RNAcentral is "bacterial SSU rRNA". It matches the Rfam family "Bacterial small subunit ribosomal RNA", at positions 568 to 898 of the family's 1533-position model. The record is from RNAcentral.
UCCGUAGGCGGUGUGGCAAGUCGGUAGUGAAAUCUCUCGGCUUAACUGAGAGGCUGCUGCCGAAACUGCCAUGCUCGAGUGCGAGAGAGGCGAGUGGAAUUGCGGGUGUAGCGGUGAAAUGCGUAGAUAUCCGCAGGAACAUCCGAGGCGAAAGCGGCUCGCUGGAUCGCAACUGACGCUGAGGGACGAAAGCUAGGGAGCAAACAGGAUUAGAUACCCUGGUAGUCCUAGCCCUAAACCAUCAGGACUUGGGGUUUGCCCUGUACGGGGCAAGUCCCGGAGCUAACGCGUUAAGUCCUGCGCCUGGGGAGUACGGUCGCAAGGCUGAA